GACGAACCGUACGAACGUUAUUCGGAAUUACUGGGCGUAAAGCGCACGUAGGCGGCUUGUUAAGUCAGGGGUGAAAUCCUGGAGCUCAACUCCAGAACUGCCUUUGAUACUGGCGAGCUUGAGUUCGGGAGAGGUGAGUGGAACUGCGAGUGUAGAGGUGAAAUUCGUAGAUACUCGCAAGAACACCAGUGGCGAAGGCGGCUCACUGGCCCGAUACUGACGCUGAGGUGCGAAAGCGUGGGGAGCAAACAGG
Molecule: ribosomal RNA, 253 nt
Filed under: uncultured bacterium
Lineage: Bacteria
Description: partial 16S ribosomal RNA
Rfam family: Bacterial small subunit ribosomal RNA
Source: RNAcentral